CAGACACCAUAAACACUGUAGACCCCACAAACUGCCAAGCUUGGUUGGGGUCUCGCCGUCCUCCACCCACCCUGGACCCAAGACUAGGAUCCAGCUUCCAGUGGGUGAACCUCUCCUACUACAGAGAGUAUAGCAGAAACAGCUCUUAUAAGAGCUAGUGAUUAUAAUCCCCGGGAGUAUAAUGAGUAUAGAAUCCCCAGCGUGAAUUAGCU
Molecule: non-coding RNA, 212 nt
Organism: Pelobates cultripes (western spadefoot toad)
Lineage: Eukaryota; Metazoa; Chordata; Amphibia; Anura; Pelobatidae
Source: the annotation of a GenBank genome assembly